CAUUGGUGCUUGCACCAGAUGACGAGUGGCGCACGGGUGCGUAACGCGUAUGCAAUCUACCUUUUACUAGAGUAUAGCCCAGAGAAAUUUGGAAUAAUCCUCUAUAAUAUCUUUAAGUUUCAUGACUUUUAGAUUAAAGUUUUAACGGUAAAAGAUGAGCAUGCGUCCUAUUAGUUUGUAGGUGAGGUAACGGCUCACCUAGACUACGAUAGGUAGGGGCCCUGAGAGGGGGAUCCCCCACACUGGUACUGAGACACGGACCAGACUCCUACGGGAGGCAGCAGUAAGGAAUAUUGGACAAUGGACGAAAGUCUGAUCCAGCCAUGCCGCGUGCAGGAUGAAAGCCCUAUGGGUUGUAAACUGCUUUUAUACAGGAAGAAACACUCGUACGUGUACGAGCUUGACGGUACUGUAAGAAUAAGGACCGGCUAACUCCGUGCCAGCAGCCGCGGUAAUACGGAGGGUCCGAGCGUUAUCCGGAAUCAUUGGGUUUAAAGGGUCCGCAGGCGGUCUUUUAAGUCAGAGGUGAAAGCCUACAGCUCAACUGUAGAACGGCCUUUGAUACUGAAAGACUUGAGUUAUUAUGAAGUGGUUAGAAUGUGUGGUGUAGCGGUGAAAUGCAUAGAUAUCACACAGAAUACCGAUUGCGAAGGCAGAUCACUAAUAAUAUACUGACGCUCAUGGACGAAAGCGUGGGGAGCGAACAGGAUUAGAUACCCUGGUAGUCCACGCCGUAAACGAUGGAUACUAGCUGUUCGUCUAACAUUGGUUAGAUGAGUGGCUAAGCGAAAGUGAUAA
This 798-nucleotide ribosomal RNA is filed under the name Bacteroidetes bacterium SCGC AAA163-F15. Its description in RNAcentral is "bacterial SSU rRNA". It matches the Rfam family "Bacterial small subunit ribosomal RNA", at positions 71 to 863 of the family's 1533-position model. The record is from RNAcentral. Lineage: Bacteria; Pseudomonadati; Bacteroidota.